GUGGAACUACUAAUCUCUGAGUCACGACUAUAAUAUCAUGAAAAGCGACAUGGCUCAAUUUGGAGAUCCCUUUGAACUCCAUUAUGAAUAGCUUAUAAAUCAUAUUUUAGUGCUGAAGUCAUGAAAAGAAAAACUACCUAGAAGGAUUGAGAAGUUGGCCUUAGUGGCACAAGAAAAUAAUAUGAAUGGUGACCAUGAUCUAAGAGUAGCCAA
Molecule: long non-coding RNA, 213 nt
Filed under: Elaeis guineensis (African oil palm)
Lineage: Eukaryota; Viridiplantae; Streptophyta; Magnoliopsida; Arecales; Arecaceae
Description: long non-coding RNA (EGUI_LNC007359)
Source: RNAcentral